UCUGAAACCUGACGAGGAUGAGAACCUCCGGGGGCAAGAGGUUCGACCCGAGCGAAGCGAGAGAACGUUGCGUCAGCAACGGCCCGCAGUGGCAAGUCAUCCUCUGUCACCGGCAG
RNAcentral lists this small RNA (116 nucleotides) under Salmonella enterica subsp. enterica serovar Thompson. RNAcentral describes it as "RtT sRNA". It matches the Rfam family "RtT RNA". From Rfam's summary of the family: This family represents a bacterial cis-regulatory element known as RtT RNA. The exact function of RtT is unknown although it is thought that it may be involved in changing the cellular response in relation to amino acid starvation. Lineage: Bacteria; Pseudomonadati; Pseudomonadota; Gammaproteobacteria; Enterobacterales; Enterobacteriaceae. The record is from RNAcentral. RNAcentral also lists the same sequence under 3 other names.